AUCCUUUUGUAGUUCGUGAGUGUGAUUGAGUUUUCACGCUCACGUGUGAGAUGUGUCUUCCUCAAACCUUGUUACGACAUCGGCACAUUACCUAUCUGAUG
Lemur catta (Ring-tailed lemur) is the source of this 101-nucleotide small nucleolar RNA. RefSeq annotates it as small nucleolar RNA U13. The transcript has a single exon. NCBI's taxonomy places the organism in Eukaryota, Metazoa, Chordata, Mammalia, Primates, Lemuridae. The record is from RefSeq and is a predicted model, not a curated record.